AGCCACAUCACGUUGAAACUCAUGUUCCCGGAAGAUCACCAAAUUUAAGCAAAGUCGAACCUGGUCAGUACCUCGAUGGGUGACCGCUUGGGAAUACCUGGUGUUGUAAG
Molecule: non-coding RNA, 110 nt
Organism: Acanthosepion pharaonis
Lineage: Eukaryota; Metazoa; Mollusca; Cephalopoda; Sepiida; Sepiidae
Source: the annotation of a GenBank genome assembly